GGGGAUGUAGCUCAGAUGGUAGUAUGUUCACUUAGCAUGCGAGAGGUAUAAGGAUUGAUACCUUGCAUCUCCA
RNAcentral lists this transfer RNA (73 nucleotides) under Zingiber officinale. RNAcentral's name for it is "tRNA-Ala". Lineage: Eukaryota; Viridiplantae; Streptophyta; Magnoliopsida; Zingiberales; Zingiberaceae. The record is from RNAcentral.